CCCACAGUAACGGCGAGUGAAUUGGGAAGAGUCCAGCGUCGAAUCUGCACGCUCUUGAAGCGUGCCGAAAUGUGAUGUAUGGAAGACCCUGUGCGGUCGCCGGCGAGCGUCGCUCUCCUUCUGAUCGAGGCCUCAUCCCAGUGCGGGUGUCAGGCCCAUGAGGGCGCUUGCCGCGGCCGCUUCGGGUCUUCCCGGAGUCGGGUUGCUUGAGAAUGCAGCCCAAAGUGGGUGGUAAACUCCACCUAAGACUAAAUACGGUCGCGAGACCGAUAGCGAACAAGUACCGUGAGGGAAAGUUGAAAAGCACUUUGAAGAGAGAGUUCAAAAGUACGUGAAACCGUUGAGAGGCAAACGGGAGAGCCCGUCCGGGGUCGGGUACGCUUUCAGUUGGGCGCGGUCGCGCGCUGCUGCAGUUGACGGACGCUUGCGCGCCGUCUCUGUUGUAGCAGGCGUGCCGUCCCAGCGCAUUAGCGUCUCGAGCAGGCCACGACCGGUUCGAAGUCGGCCAGAAGCGCCGCGCGAAGGUGGCCCACGCUUCGGCGGGGGUGUUACAGCGCGUGUGCGUCAUGGCCCGGCUGCGGACCGAGGAAGCGAUGCCGUGCGCGCUCCCCUUCGGGGGGGUUGGCGGCCGCCGUCGUUCGGCCGGUUGGUCGAGUCGUCGGGUACCGUUCGCGGUGCCCGCGGCUCGCCGGCCGCCGAUCGUGCGGUGAGCCGC
RNAcentral lists this ribosomal RNA (715 nucleotides) under Botrylloides israeliense. RNAcentral's name for it is "eukaryotic LSU rRNA". It matches the Rfam family "Eukaryotic large subunit ribosomal RNA", at positions 77 to 526 of the family's 3401-position model. The record is from RNAcentral. Lineage: Eukaryota; Metazoa; Chordata; Ascidiacea; Stolidobranchia; Styelidae.